UUGCAUUCAGUGGAAGCCAAAUGAGCAAAUAUAAUUAAAAUUCCAUCAUGAAACUUACACAACAUGAUACCUAUCCAGAUUGAAGAUUCGACAUUUAAUGCAACUAAGAAUCUGAAAUUCUUUUAGCGUAAAAAGAAGGUGACAUGAAAAUAUAGCAUAGGUUCCAAUCAAAAAAAAAAUAUAUAUAGCAUAGGCAGCCAGAAGCUUAGGAAAGAAAGAAACCUUUGAGUUCCUUUGCUGUCUAGAGUCAAUGAAAUGUGUUGGGCAUAUUGUGCAGUAAGGAUCAUUACAU
This 292-nucleotide long non-coding RNA is filed under the name Vitis vinifera (wine grape). Its description in RNAcentral is "long non-coding RNA (VVIN_LNC005842)". Lineage: Eukaryota; Viridiplantae; Streptophyta; Magnoliopsida; Vitales; Vitaceae. The record is from RNAcentral.